UCAUCUUGGGCUAGGUAUGAGAAAAGUCCUUGAUACAGAAGCAUACAUGAUCUGGGUCUUCUCACCAACCACCUUGUCUCCUUUAUCCAACUUUUUCACAAGAACAGCAAAAAAGAACCAAAAAUAUUUAAAACAAUUACACAACUCAGGAGAUCAAUCCUCACAUAUUUCAUUCAUUCUAAUUAUAUUAUUUUAAAAAAAUCUGCAAAGCACUCACUUCUUGUUUCGGAAUAGGCACACUACGACAAUAAAAUAACUCUGUCGUCUUUUCUACUCAAGAAAGCCAAGCCAUUCUUUUGUUAAGUUCCAUGAACAACUUUGGGCGUUGUCCUUACCUAAAUGAUACAUAGAAAUAAACCACAAGGAAACAAAAGUGAAUUCCAAAGUCCAAAGCCAUAAUCAUAUUUAAGAAAGGAGAUGGCCGUAUAUAUGGCGGAUCCUAUCAAUAAGUUAUUAUAGUUUUCAA
RNAcentral lists this long non-coding RNA (466 nucleotides) under Triticum aestivum (bread wheat). RNAcentral describes it as "long non-coding RNA (TAES_LNC026732)". Lineage: Eukaryota; Viridiplantae; Streptophyta; Magnoliopsida; Poales; Poaceae. The record is from RNAcentral.